This 28-nucleotide non-coding RNA is filed under the name Bombyx mori (domestic silkworm). The record is from RNAcentral. Lineage: Eukaryota; Metazoa; Arthropoda; Insecta; Lepidoptera; Bombycidae.
UAAAGCUUACAGACCCUACGCGUAGACC